This is a long non-coding RNA of Carassius auratus (goldfish), 228 nucleotides long. RefSeq lists it as uncharacterized. The transcript is spliced from 3 exons. Lineage: Eukaryota; Metazoa; Chordata; Actinopteri; Cypriniformes; Cyprinidae. The record is from RefSeq and is a predicted model, not a curated record.
CUUUGAAUAAAGCAUCAGCAGAAUCCACUGAUAAAAAGCCAGCCAGCAGUUUGCGCCUGCAUAAAUCCCCCCAUUGUGCAGCUUCUGUUUCCUCUCCUGAACUGGACAAGGUAAACAGCAAUGGUCCUCAUAAGCAGUCAGGCAAAGCAAGAACAUCAAGGAAUAAAACGGCGGCCAGUCUCUUUUUUUCUGUAGCCACUCCAAAGUCCAAGUCACCCACGUCACCUU